GACGAACGCUGGCGGCGUGCUUAACACAUGCAAGUCGAACGGAAAGGCCCUGCUUUUGUGGGGUGCUCGAGUGGCGAACGGGUGAGUAACACGUGAGUAACCUGCCCUUGACUUUGGGAUAACUUCAGGAAACUGGGGCUAAUACCGGAUAGGAGCUCCUGCUGCAUGGUGGGGGUUGGAAAGUUUCGGCGGUUGGGGAUGGACUCGCGGCUUAUUAGCUUGUUGGUGGGGUAGUGGCUUACCAAGGCUUUGACGGGUAGCCGGCCUGAGAGGGUGACCGGCCACAUUGGGACUGAGAUACGGCCCAGACUCCUACGGGAGGCAGCAGUGGGGAAUAUUGCACAAUGGGCGGAAGCCUGAUGCAGCAACGCCGCGUGCGGGAUGACGGCCUUCGGGUUGUAAACCGCUUUCGCCUGUGACGAAGCGUGAGUGACGGUAAUGGGUAAAGAAGCACCGGCUAACUACGUGCCAGCAGCCGCGGUGAUACGUAGGGUGCGAGCGUUGUCCGGAUUUAUUGGGCGUAAAGGGCUCGUAGGUGGUUGAUCGCGUCGGAAGUGUAAUCUUGGGGCUUAACCCUGAGCGUGCUUUCGAUACGGGUUGACUUGAGGAAGGUAGGGGAGAAUGGAAUUCCUGGUGGAGCGGUGGAAUGCGCAGAUAUCAGGAGGAACACCAGUGGCGAAGGCGGUUCUCUGGGCCUUUCCUGACGCUGAGGAGCGAAAGCGUGGGGAGUGAACGGGCUUAGAUACCCUGGUAGUCCACGCUGUAAACGGUGGGUACUAGGUGUGGGGUCCAUUCCACGGGUUCCGUGCCGUAGCUAACGCUUUAAGUACCCCGCCUGGGGAGUACGGCCGCAAGGCUAAAACUCAAAGGAAUUGACGGGGCCCCGCACAAGCGGCGGAGCAUGCGGAUUAAUUCGAUGCAACGCGUAGAACCUUACCUGGGUUUGACAUGGAUCGGGAGUGCUCAGAGAUGGGUGUGCCUCUUUUGGGGUCGGUUCACAGGUGGUGCAUGGCUGUCGUCAGCUCGUGUCGUGAGAUGUUGGGUUAAGUCCCGCAACGAGCGCAACCCUUGUUCACUGUUGCCAGCACGUUAUGGUGGGGACUCAGUGGAGACCGCCGGGGUCAACUCGGAGGAAGGUGGGGAUGACGUCAAGUCAUCAUGCCCCUUAUGUCCAGGGCUUCACGCAUGCUACAAUGGCUGGUACAGAGAGUGGCGAGCCUGUGAGGGUGAGCGAAUCUCGGAAAGCCGGUCUCAGUUCGGAUUGGGGUCUGCAACUCGACCUCAUGAAGUCGGAGUCGCUAGUAAUCGCAGAUCAGCAACGCUGCGGUGAAUACGUUCCCGGGGCU
Molecule: ribosomal RNA, 1346 nt
Filed under: uncultured bacterium
Lineage: Bacteria
Description: bacterial SSU rRNA
Rfam family: Bacterial small subunit ribosomal RNA
Source: RNAcentral